Triticum aestivum (bread wheat) is the source of this 1599-nucleotide long non-coding RNA. RefSeq lists it as uncharacterized. The record is from RefSeq and is a predicted model, not a curated record. Lineage: Eukaryota; Viridiplantae; Streptophyta; Magnoliopsida; Poales; Poaceae. The transcript is spliced from 3 exons.
CUUAGUUCCUUACCUAUGCUUGAACAAAGAGCAGCAGACAACAUGUAUGUUAGUGUUUCAAUUUCAAAUGAUGGAAUUUUAUAUCAUUAAUAGUGGUAACUAAUGAUAAGUAACUUUUAGUUCUGCUAAAAUUAUUUUUCUUUUUUGAAUUUCCUCAAAAUGGAAUAGUAAUGAUUUUAAGCUAAAUAAUGAGUUCUCUUUUUGUGUCGCUGGGUAAUAGAAGGAAUAAGAAGCAAGUUUUAUAUAUUAUAUGGAAUACUUCUUUUAAAUAGCUAUUGAGUUAUGACGUGUAGUUUCUUCUUCGUGUGUAUGUUGUUCUUAUGCUAUUUAAGAUGGUGACUAUUUAGUUUACUAUCAUGCGGUUAAUUCUUCGAAAUUCUUGGUCACUUGCUUAGAUAGAGACAAAUAGUGUAUUCUUUAUUUAUUUUUGUGCUGAGAUCUUCAUUUAUAUGCAGAACCAAACAUGUAGGUAGCCUGAAAGUACAUUUAAAACACAAAUCGCCCUAAGAUAUCCCAGUGUGUGGUUUAACCUGAACAUAUCUUAACUUGCAAAUAAGCAUGAUUUUCUUACAACUUGCUUCUCUGAUGCCCCCCUUAUUUGCCUUCUUAAUCGGUAUACUUGGAGUCCACAUCCAAGAUAAAAGCAUCUUGCUCUGUUCACUCAGGUUCUCAGGAGUAUCUCACAAAUGAGUCAUCAUAGGUGAGAGAUGUCUCAUCCAGCCGGACGAUAUUAUUGACUAUUUAAUAGCAGCUGACCAACAGUUUUGGUAAUUAGAGAAGAAGACAAUUCCACAGAAGCAAAGCCAGUUCAUUGGUAGGGAGCUAAAUUAGCAGGCAUGCUACCUGUACUAAAUACAUGUUGUGCUUCCUGUCCCUUCUGUCCUUCUAUAUAUUGAACUCAUUGGCAUAUGAUGUAACCUGUUAAUAUUCUUAAUGAAAUCACCCGUAAUGGGCAUUUUUCUUAAAGAAAAGAUUACAGUAUACCAUGACUAAGGUUUCAUACAGGAUUGUGUCUCCCUUGGUGUUAUUUGCAACAGCUGAGUAGCUCCGGAGAGUGUCAACGUAUGUGCCCAAACUCAAUAGAACGAGCACUAACGAUAGCAGAACUUGAAAAAUCCAGGAGAUGGCUGCUCUCACCAUAUAGUUCAAAGGAUUCCUAGAUCAAAAUUUCUGGGCUGGGACAAGAAAAUGAACAUGCUUCAGUCUCCAGAAUGUAAUAGAUUCAAUAAGGACUGAUUGCAUGGUUUGGGAGAAACUUGGUGCGUUCAGUUCAAUAUAAGGAAAAGCAUGAGAAGGUUGCCUUCACGUAUCGACGAGGCGCGGCGUGCCGCCGCGCGGGUACAUGCUAGUCAUAUGCUAAUACAAUUGUAUUGAAAUGUGUCUUCCUAAUGGAUGGUGGAUACAAUUCUAGACCAAAUAGUGCAAUACUUUUGCGUACUUGCCAUAACUUACCCAUGGUAAUGCCUUAAAUAUAUGUGAUGGUAGGGAGACAAGGAGCAAUUUUUACUGUACUGACUCGAGUACAUCAAGAAUGAAGAUGCACCCAAGAUUUAUGUACGAGAAGUUUUAAACAUAAUAGUAGUCACAGCGUGUGUUGCA